Molecule: unclassified non-coding RNA, 301 nt
Filed under: plant metagenome
Description: partial contains 5.8S ribosomal RNA, internal transcribed spacer 2, and large subunit ribosomal RNA
Rfam family: 5.8S ribosomal RNA (bases 1-105)
Source: RNAcentral
GAAAUGCGAUAAGUAGUGUGAAUUGCAGAAUUCAGUGAAUCAUCGAAUCUUUGAACGCACAUUGCGCCCUAUGGUAUUCCGUAGGGCAUGCCUGUUCGAGCGUCAUUUACACCUUCAAGCCUUGCUUGGUGUUGGGUGACUGUGGCCCCUUUGGGGCCACUCGCCUUAAAGUCAUUGGCGGCCGGUUCGUUGGCUUUGUAGCGCAGCACAAUUGCGUCCCCGAAGCCGCUGGACCAGCUCCCAGAAGCUAAUUUUAAAUGUUUGACCUCGAAUCAGGUAGGGAUACCCGCUGAACUUAAGC